Molecule: ribosomal RNA, 697 nt
Filed under: uncultured bacterium
Lineage: Bacteria
Description: bacterial SSU rRNA
Rfam family: Bacterial small subunit ribosomal RNA
Source: RNAcentral
CAUGCAAGUCGAAGGCACUUGGGGGGCAACUCCCGAGUGACUGGCGAACGGGUGCGUAACACGUGAGCGAUCUACCCUGGUGUGGGGGAUAGCCGGCCCAACGGCCGGGUAAUACCGCAUGCGUUCUUUUGGAGGCAUCUCUGGAAGAACAAAGUCUUCGGACGCAUUGGGAGGGGCUCGCGGCCUAUCAGCUAGUUGGUAGUGUAACGGACUACCAAGGCGACGACGGGUAGCUGGUCUGAGAGGAUGGCCAGCCACAUUGGGACUGAGAGACGGCCCAGACUCCUACGGGAGGCAGCAGUGGGGAAUCUUGCGCAAUGGGCGAAAGCCUGACGCAGCGACGCCGCGUGCGGGAGGACGGCCUUCGGGUCGUAAACCGCUGUUGCCCGGGACGAAUGCCCCUACACGAGGGGAUUGACGGUACCGGGUGAGGAAGCACCGGCUAACUCCGUGCCAGCAGCCGCGGUAAUACGGAGGGUGCGAGCGUUGUCCGGAAUCACUGGGCGUAAAGGGCGCGUAGGCGGCUCUAGGAAGGCGGCGGUGAAAGCCCGGGGCUCAACCCCGGGUCGGCCGUGGCGACUCCUGAGCUGGAGCACGGUAGAGGCGGGUGGAAUUCCGGGUGUAGCGGUGGAAUGCGUAGAGAUCCGGAAGAACACCGGUGGCGAAAGGCGGCCCGCUGGGCCGUGGCUGACGCUGA